AGCAGCCGCGGUAAUUCCAGCUCCAAUAGCGUAUAUUAAAGUUGUUGCAGUUAAAAAGCUCGUAGUUGAAUUUCGGGAUCAAUACGUCGGUCGUGCUUCGGUACGUACUGGCGUAAUUGAUUUCUCCCUUCUGACGAACCAUGAUGUCAUUAACUUGGUGUCAUGGGAAAUCAGGACUGUUACUUUGAAAAAAUUAGAGUGUUUAAAGCAGGCUCACGCUUGAAUACAUUAGCAUGGAAUAAUGAAAUAGGACGUUCGAUCCUAUUUUGUUGGUUUUUAGGAUCAACGUAAUGAUUAAUAGGGAUAGUUGGGGGCAUUAGUAUUCAAUUGUCAGAGGUGAAAUUCUUGGAUUUAUUGAAGACUAACUACUGCGAAAGCAUUUGCCAAGGAUGUUUUCAUUAAUCAAGAACGAAAGUUAGGGGAUCGAAGACGAUCAGAUACCGUCGUAGUCUUAACCAUAAACUAUGCCGACUAGGGAUCGGAUGAUGUUAAUUUUUAAUGACUCAUUCGG
RNAcentral lists this ribosomal RNA (511 nucleotides) under uncultured Glomus. RNAcentral's name for it is "SSU rRNA". It matches the Rfam family "Eukaryotic small subunit ribosomal RNA", at positions 569 to 1083 of the family's 1831-position model. Lineage: Eukaryota; Fungi; Glomeromycota; Glomeromycetes; Glomerales; Glomeraceae. The record is from RNAcentral.